RNAcentral lists this ribosomal RNA (743 nucleotides) under uncultured bacterium. RNAcentral's name for it is "bacterial SSU rRNA". It matches the Rfam family "Bacterial small subunit ribosomal RNA", at positions 8 to 796 of the family's 1533-position model. The record is from RNAcentral.
AGAGUUUGAUCAUGGCUCAGGAUGAACGCUGGCGGUGUGCCUAAUACAUGCAAGUCGAACGGGAUCUUCGGAUCUAGUGGCGAACGGGUGAGUAACACGUUGGUACCUACCCCGAAGUGGGGAAUAACUGCCCGAAAGGGUGGCUAAUACCGCAUAAUACCGCAAGGUUAAAGCAGUAAUGCGCUUCGGGAGGGGCCUGCGUCCCAUUAGCUAGUUGGUAGGGUAAUGGCCUACCAAGGCGACGAUGGGUAGCUGGAUCGAGAGGUUGACCAGCCACACUGGGACUGAGAUACGGCCCAGACUCCUACGGGAGGCAGCAGUAAGGAAUCUUCCACAAUGGACGAAAGUCUGAUGGAGCAACACCGCGUGCAGGAUGACGGCCUUCGGGUUGUAAACUGCUUUUAUAUGGGAAGAUUAUGACGGUACCAUAUGAAUAAGGACCGGCUAACUACGUGCCAGCAGCCGCGGUAAUACGUAGGGUCCAAGCGUUAUCCGGAAUCACUGGGCGUAAAGCGUGCGUAGGUGGCGUGUUAAGUGUGAUGUUAAAUCGUGGGGCUCAACCCUGUCGGUGCAUCACAUACUGGCAUGCUAGAGGACAGCAGAGGCAAGUGGAAUUUGUAGUGUAGCAGUGAAAUGCGUAGAUAUUACAAGGAACACCAAUGGCGAAGGCGCUUGCUGGGCUACUCCUGACACUGAGGUACGAAAGCGUGGGGAGCGAACAGGAUUAGAUACCCUAGUAGUCC